GAGUUCCCGGAAGGGGUCAGCCAGUUCAGUAAACAGAUUGGCUGGUUCGUCGUCACAGCUGAGCCGGGCGGGCCUGCAGCUCAAGAGGCAGGAGAUGGAGGCUGGUGGCCAAGGGGACACAGGAACUGCCCCCGGCCCCAUUCGGGGCUGGCACCUCCCAGGGCAGCCUGGCCCAGGCUCUGCAGAUGAAAGGAGAAACCAAGGCCCAGAGAGGGCAAGGCAGUUGCCAGAGAUCACACAGCAGGUCCGGGGCGCGGACCUAGAAUUCUGGUCUUAUCAUCCAGUGCUCUCAGCAUCACUCUGACUGAUGGGCAGGGGGGGACAAAUCACCUCAAAUUGUAACCUAAGCCCCCCAAGCCCCCAAAUCCUAACCUGGACCCUAAGGCCAGUGUGUUGGAUGAAGGGAGAAAUAAAUGGAAGGCAACUUGGGAAGGAAGCAACUUUGAGGGGUUACUGGGCUGUCCCCUGUGGUCGAUCCUAUAAUCAUAGUAACUGCUUCUAGUGUUUCUUGAGCAUCUAUUAUGUACAGGGCAUUACCAUAAGUGCCUUCCAUAAAUCCACCCAUUUAAUAUUCAGCCACCUUUAUACGAAUAAACACAGGCAUCACGUUUAAAGCAUCCACUGAGUGCCAGGCACUGAGCUGGGUGAUUGACAUACACCACCCGGGAUCCUCUGCGGACCUUGCCAGGGAGGCAUCGCCGUCACCCCUGUUCAUCAGAUGAGGAAACAGAUGCCCAGGAGGGCGAGCAGCUGAGGUGUAUGGUGGGAGAACAGCAGGCUCCAGAGUCGACUAGACCCAGGGAUUCAAAUCUUUACUUUUACCCUUCCUGCUGUAUGGCCUCAGGCAAGUGACUCCACCUCUCAGAGCCUCAGUUUACCCAUCUGGUAAAUGGGGAUGAUUAUGGUACUGGAAACACUGGAGCCAGACUUGGUGGGAGCUCGUGAGUGUCAUGAUAGGGCAGUGGCUGGAGUGCAGACUUUUGGGUUGAAUCUUGCUGUGCCCCUUCUUGGCUGUGUAACCUCGGGCAUGCCGCUUAGCCUCUCUGGGACUCAGUGUCCUCUGUAAAAUGGACAUAGCACCUCCCUCAUGCGGCAGGUGGGAAGAAUGAAUGAGCAGAAAUCCCCGCAGCCUUCUGUGCGAGGCCAGGUAUUCUGCAGCCACUGAACGCAGGUGACUUGUUCUUAUAUUUCACCUAUGAUGGCUCCACUGGGACUGGGGUGAGGGGAAGGACACUAGACCAUGGGCAGAAGGACAAGGCACCCACAUUCUUUGCUGCCCUUUUGCACCCACAAACAAUCUGGAAAGGGAAGCUCAGCCUUGCCUGCCUCCUUGAGGGUCGGGGCUGAGGCUUGGCGUGAAUGGUUGCCAUGGCAUCCUCCCCACCUCCCCACCAGCCACUCUGCCUUGCUAUGGACUCCACGUUCCUCCCCUACUUAAAACCCUCUAGGGCUCCCCAUUCCUCUUCUCGUGUACUACUCCCCAGUUUGGCUGAGCCCCAGACAGGCCUUAUCAUGGCUCUUUGGUUCUUGGCACCCCAGCCCCAGCCCCCUUGGUACAAACUCUCACACUCAUCAUUCCCACCUCACCCUUGUGCACACACAGGGCCCUUCACCCGGCAUGCCCUCACUUUCCCUAACCCACCUGCCUGGUCUGGAUUUCACCCACCCUUCAACGCACGUAUUCAAAACCUCCUCCUCCAGGGAGACUGCCCUGAUCCUCCCC
This 1723-nucleotide long non-coding RNA is filed under the name Homo sapiens (human). Its description in RNAcentral is "non-protein coding lnc-TMEM189-9:1". Lineage: Eukaryota; Metazoa; Chordata; Mammalia; Primates; Hominidae. The record is from RNAcentral.